CGUCCCUGUCUGAGGUCCUGUGAGAGGGGACUGGAGACGCGCCCUCACGUUGUCAGGGAGGGGGAUGGCGGGAGGAGGGAGCGACGUCGUCACCCCCCAGGGGAGGGUGGCGGCCAGACACUUCCAAACCUAAAAGUACAGGAGUCGACAGGGAAUAAAAAAGAGCAAGGGAAGAAGAAAUGGGCCGAAACGUGUUAAAUAAGUUACAUUUCAGGAGUAACUGAAAUCCAAAAACCAAACCAAAAUAAAACAAAAAACCAAAAGGAAAAACAAAGCUUCCAGCUGCCUCCAGAAGAUGCUCACUGUUCUCGCCGUUCUAGAAACGGGCAGGAAACGAUGAAGCCGGUGUUUGUCUUGUGUUCCCUGGAGGAGCUGUAGCCAACCACGUGACAAGAAGACCUCGUGAGGGCCGAGACCACGGGAGUUCUGGACGCUGACUGUGUGUCCAACGUCAAGGUUACCGAGAGUUUGGGCGAUAACGGUCUUCAAAGGCUCCGUCCAGCAGCGUCUACAGGGAAGUGAGGUGACCUGUGGGGAUCGCUCUGUAGCACGUGGAGGGAGCGGGGUAGAGAGAGACCAGCCGCACCCUGGUCAUCACUGAAAUUGGGUAACAGGGGUGCUGGGUUCAUGACCCUCUUCUCAACUUCUGCAUUUUGGGGGGAAAUUUUCCAUAAUAAAUACAUUCAAACAUUGAUGCCCCCGGGAGCUUACAUUCCAGUGUGCUGUGUAUGUUUGUAGGCAGAUAAAUAAGAAAACUGUGUAGUCCGUUAAAGCAAGGGGGGCAUGGGGGGGUCUUGCUGAGACAUUUGGGGUGAGGGAGAGACACAGCCUGGUGGCAGAGCCGCACCUCCAGGGGCCGGGCUGGGACUGGAAGAGUGUGCGGCCCCGAGGGGCCUCAGCCUUCAGGUGGGUGGGGUACAGAGCCCCUGGGGGCUGGAGCAGACCCGGCAGCUCCGGAGGUUUCCAUCAAGGCCCAGGACGCAGGAGGCCCAGCUGACUGGAGUUCAGCCAGUGAACCAGGCAGAGCGGAUGGAUGGCGGCAGCUGUGUGUUUGGAGAUCAGAAACUGAGGGCAAGAUGAUGCAGUGACUGAUGUGACUGGGGCCACUCAGGGCUGUGUGGUUCAUCCGGACCCACACCCACAUCUGACCUCAGGCCUCUGAGCUAAGCUGAUGGCCCUCAGACUCCAGGUGCAUCCCCUUUGUCUGCAGCUUCUGCCAUGGUCAGUCACUGGCAGCCCGUGUCACCUCCAGGAGCUCCAGGCUGACGGUGGAAUAUGGGGGUCAGGACCAGGCGUGACCGCAACCCACCCUGACCCCCCGGCUUGGGUUUGGUCCAUCACAUUCCAGUUCGUCUCUCAGAAGACAAAGCGGUGAGAGUCACUGUUCGGGGUGCUUGUGAAGAAAGUGGGGGUCCUGGCUGCAUGGAAGUCGUGUAGCUCCCAGAGCCCGUUGUCUGGCGAGGAAUGCCACCCUGGGUGACGGGCGCCGGGACGCCCCUUCCUACGAAAGCAGCCGGGUUCUCAGACUUCCGCGUGUCUGGUUCGGAGCUGGCUCUGCUUCCCAGCUCACAGGCGAGGUCUGCUCCUGGGGGGCGCGAGCUUCAACCAGAAACCCAGAAAACCAGCUCUUCCGCUUGGAAUUCCAUGAGCCAGUUAAGUAUCCUUCCUACAAGUUGAAGACGGACUGAAGCGAAUGGGCUUUUAAUUUUGCCUAAAAAAUAGAGCAAGCAGCCACAGACACCCCCAGUCUCGUUGCCUAAGCAAAGUGAGCUAAGAGGAAGGAGUGAGGCUCAGAAUAGGGCGUGGUGCCCACCGAGGCUGCUCCUGCCCUCACUGGUACGGACGUGCGGCCCUGCCCUGCUUCCUGGACAGCAGUGCGGGGAGGGCAGGCCCCAGGCGUGCUGCUGGCCUGUGGCAUCUUCAGACAUGAGGCCUGGAGCCUGUUUGCAGACGCUUUGGCCUCAGAGUGCGGCAAGGCCUGAGGGAAGGACACUCAGCCCGCACUCCGGUGUCCUUUGAGGAGCUGCCUGCAAUGAUAAGGCUGUUCGGCGUCUCCCAGGCAGGACCCUGUCACUCCUGUCAUUGCUUGGUCCAGGGCCUGCUCCCCAGAGCUGCUGCUCCAUGCCUUGCAAGCGCGUCUCAGGCACUUCAGGGAAGAGGAGCCACAGUGCGAAGGGGCAGAUCCCGGACCUGCAGACGGAGCCGAGGGAGGCGCCCUCCACCUGAGUCUCCGAGGUCUGACCACAUUUGCAAGGACACUGUGCUGUGGUUUUCCCUUGAAGGGGACACCAGGGGCCUGUGUGCCGUGCCUGUUGCUGCUCAUUCCGCCCACCUGCUCUUGUCCUGCUUCCUGGCCUGCUCCAGAUGCUGGGCUCUCAGACCUGGGUCCUCGCAGAGGGAUGCGGGCAGUGGCACAGGGUGGCCGGAGCUGUAGGCGGGAUGAAUGUGUCUUGGGGCGCCUGGCUCAGACAAAAGAGCAUGCAGCUCCUGAUCUAGGGGUUGUGAGUUUGAGCCCCGUGUUGGGUGAAGAGAUUUCUUAAAUAAACUCUAAAAGAAAGGA
Suricata suricatta (meerkat) is the source of this 2560-nucleotide RNA transcript. RefSeq lists it as uncharacterized. The record is from RefSeq and is a predicted model, not a curated record. The transcript is spliced from 4 exons. Lineage: Eukaryota; Metazoa; Chordata; Mammalia; Carnivora; Herpestidae.